UCUGUUCUUAAAAAAAAAAUUAAAAAAAAAUUAAAAAAAAAAAAACCCUUAAACGACCUUGUUCUUUGGAGUUGGGUCCUGCUCGGCUUGAUGAUUUACUGCUCAGAUUUCAUUGAGAAGAAUAUUUCAGCUCUUUCAUAAUUUGCUGAACCUGUAGACUCUGAAGAAAAGAAUAUUGAGUUAUUCCUAUUCGAAGGGAUAUAAACAGUGGCAAAGGGAUGCUCUAACUAAUUAUGUCUUUAAAGGAUAUAAACAGUGUCAUAUGUGCAAUGCAGGAAUUGAAAGGUGGAAUUUGAUCCUGUUAACUAAGAAAUAUGUCUUUCACUUUUGGCACUCCUGUUGGCUAGCUAAUACAAGCCUUUCUUGUUGAAUGGAAUCAGCCCCAGGUGCUCAAUCACUGGUUUUCUGCUUAAGUAUUAACCAAGAAGAGCAUUUUGUUUUCAAUCUGUUUAGUGUUCCAAGUACUAGCUGGAUCCAUCCAAGACUGUGUAGUGUAAGCAGCAGGUUCUUCGGUUGCUAUGUAUUUUUGGCUAUUAUAGAAUCUAGACCUAGGACUUGGAUUUGGAUUUGAGUAGAAGAACAAUCAUUGCAGAUUAUAGAAUCUAGACCUAGGACUUGGAUUUGGAUUUGAGUAGAAGAACAAUCAUUGCAGAUCCAGUGGGAAUUCUUCAUCUCUUUUUCUUUGAAUUUAAUAUCUUUUUAAUUUUUUAAUUGCAGAUCCAUAGGAGGUGAUCAUUCAAUAUUUGUUGUAAAAUGUUUGAGAAAAAGAAGAUGUAAAAUAUGCAAAAUCUGUGGCUUUGGCUAUUUCCUCCCUUUGUCCACUUGUGAUGUUUUACAGAGAAUGAUAAACUCAUUCUGGUGGAAGCAUUCA
Molecule: long non-coding RNA, 871 nt
Organism: Hevea brasiliensis (rubber tree)
Lineage: Eukaryota; Viridiplantae; Streptophyta; Magnoliopsida; Malpighiales; Euphorbiaceae
Exons: 2
Source: RefSeq, a predicted model, not a curated record